Molecule: ribosomal RNA, 1439 nt
Filed under: uncultured bacterium
Lineage: Bacteria
Description: bacterial SSU rRNA
Rfam family: Bacterial small subunit ribosomal RNA
Source: RNAcentral
AGGGUUUGAUCAUGGCUCAGAACGUACGCUGGCGGCACGCCUAAUACAUGCAAGUCGAACGAAGUAGCAAUACUUAGUGGCAGACGGGUGAGUAACAUGUAGGUAUCUGCCCUUUGGCCUGGAAUAACACGAGGAAACUUGUGCUAAUACCGGAUAAGUCUUUACGGAGAAAGCUUUAUGCACCAUUGGAUGAGCCUGCACUUGAUUAGUUUGUUGGUAGGGUAAUGGCCUACCAAGACUGUGAUCAAUAGCUGAUUUGAGAGGAUGAUCAGCCACAUUGGGACUGAGACACGGCCCAAACUCCUACGGGAGGCAGCAGUAGGGAAUCUUGCACAAUGGAGGAAACUCUGAUGCAGCGAUGCCGCGUGAGUGAAGAAGGCCUUUGGGUUGUAAAGCUCUUUCGUCGGGGAAGAAAAUGACUGUACCCGAAUAAGAAGGUCCGGCUAACUUCGUGCCAGCAGCCGCGGUAAUACGAAGGGACCUAGCGUAGUUCGGAAUUACUGGGCUUAAAGAGUUCGUAGGUGGUUGAAAAAGUUGGUGGUGAAAUCCCAGAGCUUAACUCUGGAACUGCCAUCAAAACUUUUCAGCUAGAGUUUGAUAGAGGAAAGCAGAAUUUCUAGUGUAGAGGUGAAAUUCGUAGAUAUUAGAAAGAAUACCAAUUGCGAAGGCAGCUUUCUGGAUCAAUACUGACACUGAGGAACGAAAGCAUGGGUAGCGAAGAGGAUUAGAUACCCUCGUAGUCCAUGCCGUAAACGAUGUGUGUUAGACGUUGGAAACUUAUUUUCAGUGUCGCAGCGAAAGCGAUAAACACACCGCCUGGGGAGUACGACCGCAAGGUUAAAACUCAAAUGAAUUGACGGGGACCCGCACAAGUAGUGGAGCAUGUGGUUUAAUUCGAAGAUACGCGCAGAACCUUACCAACACUUGACAUGUUCGUCGCGACUUUAAGAGAUUAAAGUUUUCGGUUCGGCCGGACGAAACACAGGUGCUGCAUGGCUGUCGUCAGCUCGUGUCGUGAGAUGUUGGGUUAAGUCCCGCAACGAGCGCAACCCUCACUUUUAGUUGCCAUCAUUCAGUUGGGCACUCUGAAAGAACUGCCAGUGAUAAGCUGGAGGAAGGUGGGGAUGACGUCAAGUCCUCAUGGCCCUUACGUGUUGGGCUACACACGUGCUACAAUGGUAUCUACAACAGGAAGCAAGACGGCGACGUUAAGCAAAUCCUUAAAAGAUACCUCAGUUCGGAUUGCACUCUGCAACUCGAGUGCAUGAAGCUGGAAUUACUAGUAAUCGUGGAUCAGCGUGCCACGGUGAAUGCGUUCCCGGGUCUUGUACACACCGCCCGUCACACCAUGGGAGUUGGUUCUACCUUAAGGCAAGGUUUCAAACCCUUGACCACGGUAUAGUCAGCGACUGGGGUGAAGUCGUAACAAGGUAACCGUA